UGCAGAGUUUGCGUCGCCUCUUCCGAAGACACAUAUUUGUGUUUCCCCUCAACUCCUACGCAUAAUGGGUAGUUUGUUUGGGUCGUCUGUUGGAACAUGAAUUUGGUGACGCAAAACACUGUUCGUGAUGUAUUUUGUGUUUUGAGGUACCUAUUGGAGACAGUCUAAAAGCAGCAAAAUAGGAAUAGUAACACUUUCGUUUGUAUUUGACAAAUAUUGUCCAAUUAUGGACUAACUAGGCUCAAAAGAUUCGUCUCGUCAAUUCCGACCAAACUGUGCAAUUAGUUUUAGUUUUCAUCUAUAUUUAAUACUCCAUGCAUACGUCUAAAGAUUCAAUGUGACGAAGAAUCCGAAAAAUUUUGCAAAAUUUUUGGGGAACUAAACAAGGCCAGAGAAAGAAUGUGUGAUAAUUUUGUAGUCUAAGCCUAGGAACCUAUAGUCUUGUAGCCUACAUAGAUCUAAUAAUUUAUUCUAAGGCAUAUGUUCCUAUUAGCCUGCAUUGGGGAAGCCCUUAGUGGUUCUAGUACAAAUAAAGUGUUCCACAUAGAUUAGAAAAUGUCGAGACUACUAUUCACACAAUGCAAUCUAUCACUACCUGUGAUUUGCAAAAAAAAAAUCUUUCAUCAUGUCUCAUCUUUAUUUUCUCUUCUUUUUUAGCAUGGGCCACCUUCUCUCUCCAAGCAUAUGUAGUUUCUAUAAGCUAAUAUGACAAGUUUUGAGCAUCUAUUUUUUAUCCGAUACUCCAUGGCACUUGGGGCUAUAAGAAAAAGCGUAGCGUUGGGAAAGCCCUUAUAAUUACCAUCUAAAAUUAUAAACUUCCUUCAUUGCCAUUUAUUUAUAAUUAUGUGUCUUUUCAUUAUCAUUUUUAUGGAUAAUUUGUUUCCUUUGAUGGCAUUGAGAGAACAAAACAUCGUUAUCAGAUGUUCGGUGCAUAGGACUAACUACGUGAACACCUUUGAUAAUCAAAUUUAACCACUUUUUAUAGUUUGCUGAGUUUAAUAGUAUGCUUAGACAAUUUUUUCACCGGAUUUAUUAAAUUUAAGUUUAAUUAAUAGACAAAGGUAUGAAUUUCAUGUUCAAACAACAAUGUUCACUAGAGUUAUCAAAUCAAGAAGAGCAUACGGAGCAAGAGUUUUUAGAAAGUACUUAGAGAUAGAUCACGCUUUAAUAUGAAAGGAUGCAUUGUUUUUCUGAACUUUGAAUAGUGGAGGAAGCUGAUUUUUUUCAAAUAGACCUUAGAGAUAAAAAUAAAAAUAAAAAAAUAUCUAAAUAGAGAUAAUACCAAUUAAACUUAAAUUGAAUUAAUUCAGCAAAAUAAAUUAUCUAAGCAUACUAUCUUGCUCAGACUAUAAAGAGUGAUCAAAUUUGGUUAUCAACGGUGGGUGAUCAAAUUUGGUUAUUGAAUGUGCUCAUGGAGUUAGUCGUGUUUAACAAAACACGCUACAAGAUGUUUUGUUCCCUCAAUAUAAUGGUAUUAACGAAAACAAAUUAUUUAUAUGGAUGUCUAUUAAGAUAAUAAGGUUUCUCCAUACAACAGUAAUCAUAAUGAGGGUCAAAAAAUCUAAAAUCUUAAAAUGUAUUUUAGAUCAUAACUCUUAAAAUAUCCAAACUUAAUUAACUUAGUGUUAUUCAAGUCAUAGAACUUGCCAUAGUGUAUCAUUUAAGGCCUUGUUUAGUUCACCCUGAAAAUCAAAAAGUUUUCAAGAUUCCCCGUCACAUCGAAUCUUGUAGCACAUGCAUGAAACAUUAAAUAUAAACGAAAACAAAAACUAAUUACACAGUUUAGCUGUAAAUCACGAGAUGAAUCUUUUGAUCCUAGUUAGUCUAUGAUUGGAUAAUAUUUGUCACAAACAAACGAAAGUGCUACAGUACCGAAAACUUUUCACUUUUCGUAACUAAACAAGGCCUAAGUCCUGAUAGACCUAAUAUUUAGUGUCAUGAUGUCACAUGCUAUACUAUUAGAUCCACACCUCAUUCUUGUAGACCAAGGAAGAAACAUAAUGGCAAAGCAAUCGUUCACGUACCUUCUCACCUUAGAGCACUAGCUUUGACCACUAUUGAUGAUGUCAUAGCAUUUGAAGUGGAGGAAGAUGAAGGCAUGGGAUAGGGAUCGAGAAAUCCAUAACAAAAUAUCAAUAUUUGGAGAUCUAAUUAAAGAAGCUAUUGGAGAGAGCUUU
This 2177-nucleotide long non-coding RNA is filed under the name Sorghum bicolor (sorghum). Its description in RNAcentral is "long non-coding RNA (SBIC_LNC000656)". Lineage: Eukaryota; Viridiplantae; Streptophyta; Magnoliopsida; Poales; Poaceae. The record is from RNAcentral.